UUUCAUUUUUUAUAUUUGUUCUUGUUAGUUGAAUUUUAAUAAUCUAUUUUCCUCUUUUGGUAAUGUAGAACAUCAUUGAAUCAAAGGUCAAAGGUCUAGGUGUAAUCUGGAUAGUAGUUUCUUUCCUUUUCUUGGUUUAUGUUUGGGUUAUUCUUUUUCUUGGUUUAUCUUUAGUUUACAAGAAACAGGAGUGAAGUAAAGUAGGUUCUUGAUUUUUGUUUGGUACUUUGGUUUCUCAUUUUGAAACGUACGUUUUAUCUUUCCUCUUCUGCUUUGUUUGGUUUCCAAGAAAGUGAUCUAGGUUUAAUAUGCACUGUGUUUUCUUUCUUUUUCUCAGUGUCUGUUUGGUUUUCAUGAAGCAGGAAUGAAGUACAGUGUGUUCUUGAUUUCUGAUUGGUUUCCAAGAAAGUGAAGGAAAAUGAUAUGGCUUGUUAUCAUUUUUUUUUUCUUCAUGCCAGAAUGAUUAAUAAAAAUGAUAUAUAGAAGGGUUUCACAACUAAGCUCCUUGUUUAUUUUGGUUGGUGUCUUCUGAAAAUUAUCUAAAAUUGUCUCCAAAACAGCUGAGGUGGAAGGCAUGGUUGUGAUUGCCUUCAGAAAUGUCUGACUCAUGAAGAUUUCAGUCAUAUCCUUGUGCAGUAUGUUGCUAAAUUUCUGACUGGAGUAUGCAUAAAGCCCUUGCAUUGAUUUUGGUUUAGGGGAGAUGAGGCCUGAACAACUUUGGGAAACCACAAUGGAUCCUGAUCAGGGAAGGUUGCUAAAGCAAUUUGUUGUCAAGGAUGCUAUAAAAGGAAGUGUUGUCUUCUCAUUUCUUAAGGGUGCUUAGGUAAAAGAAAAACAUUUGGCUUUUUAUGUUGUUCUUAUCUAUUCUCAUAUAUAGUUUAAAGAAAAUAUCAUUGUAUUUUUUUUAUCUAGAAUUAUAUGAUAUUACUGCCAAGUCCAGGCGACCAAUUAACUAACCCUGCAGGGAACUGAAUGUGAAAUGACUAGUCCAUAUUUUUGUUAUCAUAUUCUGGGAAGCAACGUUGUAUGUUAAUAUUUCAUGACUAUGUUGAGCAACUAUUUCAGACACGUGAACAUAGCAGCUUUAGGUUGAAUAUUUUUGUUUUCAAAUUUAAGGAAAAAUAGGUUCUGUACUCCCACUAAAUUAAUUCCUAAAAGAAAUGUCCAAAUGCAUGGGAUCCUUGAGAUACAUAUAUAAUUACCCUUUCCAAGUUGUGCAAGUGGGCUGUGAUGAGAGAGAAAACAUGAGGAUUUCACUAGAGAGGGCAUGAGAGUGGGCUAUUAAGGAGGAUUCAUGUGAGCAUCAGAACCUGGAGAACACCUGAGCUGAUUGUGCACAUGGUGGGGAUUGUUGUGAGCAUCGGAUUUUUCUAGAAUGGAGGUUGUUUGGUGCUCAGUUUGUGGAAAAAAAGAAGGUGGCAGAAUGUUCUAGAGUCACAUGGAUUUUUCUAGAAUUGUUGUGCACACGGUGGACAAAAUCAAAAUUUGUAAAGUGGAGAGCAUCAGAACCUGGAGAACACCUGAGCUGAUUGUGCACACGGUGGGGAUUGUUGUGAGCAUCAGAUUUUUCUAGAAUGGAGGCUGUUUGGUGCUCAGUUUGUGGAAAAAAUGAAGGUGGCAGAAUGUUCUAGAGUCACAUGGAUUUAGUGCAUGGUUUUGGCUUGGAGGGAAUAGGAUGAGAAGGUUUUAGAGAGGUGACUAUUAGUGGACAGAUUUGAAUUUUGGAGGGAAUGAAAGUGAUCAGAAUUUUUAGAGGGAAGUCUCUAGAACUUUGGGGAGGACUGAAUACAGUUGGGGAGGAAAAAUGGGGAGAAGUGAAUUUUUCUUCAAGGGAGAAUAUCACACGGCAUAAUUCUUUAGUGGACAAAGCGUGAAACUGAAUUCGGUCUUGAAGGAAGGAGAGAUGGAGCUAAGUGAAGAGAGAUUAUGGGAGAAUUGAGGGCACAGAUCAGCUUGGAAAAUUGAGAGAACAACCAGAAAUUUGGGAAGAAAAGUUGAACACAGAAUGGUUGUUAAUGGUUGAGAGCAUGAGAUUCGUGGGGUUGCAAGCUGAUUGUGUGUGACUGUUAAUGGUGGAGAGGUAAGUUGAUAGUGCAUGGCUAUGAGACGAAACUCAACAAGCACAUGAUCACACCAUCAGAUUUUGAGACCACCAGAUUGCUAGCACAAGCACUCAUUAGAUUGCUGAAUUUUGAGAAUUUGCAUAAGCUUGUGAAGAACAACACCACCAGCUGAAUUUUGGAGAACACACACUAGCCAAACUGAUGAAGGAGGCACACAUAGUUGCAUAGAGAAGGAGACCACCAGGUUGCUUAUUGAAGCAACACGCAUCAGCCAUUGAAAUACCAUCAACAUGCAUCAGCCAUUGAAGACACCAUCAGCAUGCAUCGGGUUUUAAAGAGAUACAUCACUAAACUUUGAAGAGGAUUUUGAGAUUCGAAGUUUGGGUGUUGGAAAUUUAAGGCUUUCCUAUAAAGUAAUGCUUCAAGAUGGAGAGAUGGAGGCAAGAGACUUGGUUGUAGAUAUAUACAUGAGCAACUUAAUUUAAGUUUAUGUAUAUUGUCUUAUAGUUUGUUUUUAAUUUUGUUGUAUAUUAUGAGUUUCUUCUAUAUAGAGAAAUUGGGGACAACUUUAAACAAGUUCA
Vitis riparia (riverbank grape) is the source of this 2644-nucleotide long non-coding RNA. RefSeq lists it as uncharacterized. The record is from RefSeq and is a predicted model, not a curated record. The transcript is spliced from 3 exons. NCBI's taxonomy places the organism in Eukaryota, Viridiplantae, Streptophyta, Magnoliopsida, Vitales, Vitaceae.